Molecule: small RNA, 222 nt
Filed under: Aquaspirillum sp. LM1
Lineage: Bacteria; Pseudomonadati; Pseudomonadota; Betaproteobacteria; Neisseriales; Aquaspirillaceae
Description: Proteobacterial sRNA psRNA2
Rfam family: Proteobacterial sRNA psRNA2
Source: Rfam by way of RNAcentral
GGGUUACUCCCUGGCGCUCUCGCGCUGUUUUGAUGAAGAUUCGCACCUCUAUCAAAACGGGUAACCCCACCCUUUGGCAAGGCCCUGCUGUCAGAUCAAGUCUGAACUUCUACAAUUUAGCUUCUGCUUUCCAGUGGCGCAGAUACGGCAAACGAUGCUUCACCGGGCUCAGCAGCAAUGACUCCGGCCGACAUGGCACAAUGCGUCGGCAGAACUCAGCUU